Molecule: unclassified non-coding RNA, 1969 nt
Filed under: Leishmania donovani
Lineage: Eukaryota; Euglenozoa; Kinetoplastea; Trypanosomatida; Trypanosomatidae
Description: gene:LdHU3.33.4200(CDS-product:hypothetical_prote in_conserved)
Source: RNAcentral
GAGCGUUGUCUCUCUCACGCCCGCCUGAAGUGCAAGCGCAGCGGACGCCUCCCCCUGUACAAAUCCCUUUUUUUCUGUUAGAACGCAGUCGCGGAGCAAUGAGCUCGCCACCGCAGGAUCCGCCGGAUGGCGUUAACAAUGACGGUGUUGGCGGCCGUCGCCGCUCUUCUAAGCCGAGGCCAAGCCCGCUCGCUUUUCCGCGAGAUCGCGCCUACGGCACCCUCGACAACGGCAACGGCGGCGAGGGCGGCAGCAGCGUCGGCGUAGGAAACACUCGGCAAAGUGGCCUUCUCAUGAACGGCGGCACAAGCGGGAGGCUCAGCAGCGACCCGAUGCCGCUGUGGAGCUACGCUGCCUCGCCUAUCAUCCAAAUUCGCGAUCACUGCCAUCAGCAGUGGUUGGCGGUACUGCUUACUGUUGUUCUGCUCCUCGUCACAUUCUACUUUGUCUUCGGUCUUUCCGCUCCGAUGCGGGCAGAGCGGUGCGCCACGCCGUUUGGCAGUCUGCUGGGAGAAAGCAGAGGUGUGGCGGCGUACAGCAACUGCCGCAACGACUACGGUGGGGAUCACAUGGAACACUUCGUCUCCGUAGGGCUGCAGCGACUCUACACUGGCUCCAAAUGGCAGGCCCUCGAGUACGCCCGCCGCUACUGGAUCCUGAAAUCGCUGCUGACCUUUCCAUCCCUUCCCAGGGCGGAUCAUAUCAUUCUCGCUGAUACCGCCAACUCCGUGAACGGGCGUCGUGGAGGUCGCGGCAGCUCCGUCGUGCCACUGGAGCGGUACACAAACCUUUUCCUGCCACCCCAGGUUCUGCACAACAGCAGCGAAGAUAUGCCUGUGAUGAAACUAAAUGGAGAGGCCAACAACCUCUCAGCUAGCGUGCGGCUAAGGAGCUGGCGUCAGGCACUCGUGCAGCCCCACGACAUUGUCGUGUACGCCAAGAACUCUCGGACGCUGCCGUCUGGUCACGUCGCGGUUGUGACGGCGGUGCGCGGCCCCUUUCACAGCGUCGCCGCAGCUGGCAAGGAAGUACACUGGUUUAUUGUGAAGAACGCCUCGAUACAGGGUCGGCAGCCCAUGGCUCCUGGAUCGACGUUGCCACGGUUGCUUCUGUCGCAGGAGCACGAGGUUGUGAAUGGCGCCGUGACGCCGCCGAAGAACACGACUGGUAGCGACACGGCAAGGCGUCCUUCCAGCGGCGGCUGUGAGAAUGUAUCUGCGGACGAGAAAGGCGAGGAAAUGGUGUGCGGGUGUAGCGUUCUCUACUACAAGGUGUUUGUUGUAGAACAAAACUGGGACAACUCCUAUUGGGAAGCGCUGAGCUAUUUGACAAAGUAUGACUGGCACAACCACAACAGCCAAAACAGCAUACCCAACGGCAACGGAACCGGGAAGGAGUCGUCGGCGAAGCAGCAGCGAAGGGCCGAAACGCGGCUGCGCAACUUUAGUCGAGUACUCCUCCUGCAUGAGUACUCGAACCCGCAUGGGUUCUUCCUCGAAGACACACACAACAAUCUCAUUCUAGGCUGGGUGCGCGCCUCUUCCGAUGCGUAACUUUUUUUUUGCAGGUGUAGGCGCGCGCGCAGCAUUCGCAAGUGGCAGCGGCGUUAUCAAAACACCCAGAGGGGGACCAAGGAGCAUCUUCUUUACACACAAACACAUAUAUAUUUACAUCUGCGACAGGCAAGCGGCUUUCCUUGCUCCUUCCCUAUAUAUAACCCUCCCUCUCUCUUUCUAUCCAGCACUCUCACCAGUAACGCGCAGCGACGGCAAAGAAGCCACACGAGGAGACAGCACUGAACCUGGUAGACAGAUUAUGCCAAACUGUCACAUGGCGGGCACGGAUGCACGUGUGAGCGCACGUGAAGGAGUGAGAGGGAAAGAAAGCGGUGGCAUCGGCGUCGUCGGUGACGCUGUGUACUAGCAAAACAAGAAGACACGCACGCAAAACAAAAAAAAGCAACGGGUGA